RNAcentral lists this ribosomal RNA (497 nucleotides) under uncultured bacterium. RNAcentral describes it as "partial 16S ribosomal RNA". It matches the Rfam family "Bacterial small subunit ribosomal RNA", at positions 28 to 507 of the family's 1533-position model. The record is from RNAcentral.
GAUGAACGCUGGCGGCGUGCCUAAUACAUGCAAGUCGAGCGAACAGACGAGGCGCUUGCUCCUCUGUCGUUAGCGGCGGACGGGUGAGUCACACGUGGAUAACCUCCCUAUAAGACUGGGAUAUCUUCGGGACACCGGCGCUAAUACCGUAUAAUAUAUUGAACCGCAUGGUUCAAUAGUGAAAGACGGCUUUUCUGUCACUUAUAGCUGGAUCCGCGCCGCAUUGGCUAGUUGGUAAGGUAACGGCUUACCAAGGGAACGAUGCGUAGACGACCGCUGAGAGGGAUCGCCCACACGGGAGGGGAGACAGGGUCCAGGGGCCUACGGGACGCAGCAGUAGGGAAUCGGCGGCAAUGGUGGAAAGCCUGACGGAGCGAGGGCGCGCGAGUGAUGACGGUCUUCGGAGCGUAAAACUCUGUUAUGAGUGAUAAACAAAUUUGGAAGGAACUAUGCACGGCGUGACGGUACCGAGUAAGAAAGCCACGGCUAACUACGUG